Molecule: ribosomal RNA, 366 nt
Filed under: Triticum aestivum (bread wheat)
Lineage: Eukaryota; Viridiplantae; Streptophyta; Magnoliopsida; Poales; Poaceae
Description: partial small subunit ribosomal RNA
Source: RNAcentral
AUGCUUGAAUUACUGAGCAGUAUUCGAGGGAUCGUGCCUCCAUUGUUUUUGACCUACACUACAAGAGAGUGUGCUGAGAAAGCCAGGGAGGAGCUUGCUGACAGUGUCAGUCAUCAAAUGUUUGCCUCCGAAAGCUUGGGUCAGGCACGAAAGACAGGGUUGGAAGAUGGUUGCAACUUGCAACCAUGGGGUGAUGUGGGUUUGACGUCCAGGGUCUUGGCCAGACGGCCACAGCACAGCAGGGCUGUGAGCAGCCUCAGCCUGGCAUCAUGCAAAGACAAACAGCUAACAUUCGAGUUCUCCACCUCGCAUGUGUUUCACCGCAUGAUUCUGCAGUCACAAGCUGCAACUCAGCAGAGUGAAUAG